CCGCCUCCACCUCCUUCUGCCCCAGAGGCCGCUUCGCAGGGAAAGUUACAUAACGCGCGGGCAAAGCCUUCUGGGAAACGUAGUCCCGCCGCGGCGGGCUCUUAAAGGGGACGGCGGGCGGCAGCCGGGGUGGCCGCAUCGCCGCGGCGCAUCUCCGAGCGGUCCUCGCCAGCCGCGAGCCGCCAGGGGCGCGGGCACAAGGGGCGGGGCGGGGCGGGGCGGGGCGGGGACACGAGUGGGCAGCACUACCUCGGAGUCAGAAGUUGACGCGCUGGACACGCUCCCGGCGUCCAGUUGCCGCGCCGAGUCGCUGUGCAGCUCCAGGCCAGCGUCUCGGCCUCUCUGAGGCUCACUCUCCGCCCAGGAAAGAAUCUUGGCCAUCAGCCUCCGACGGGGGCCGGCAGUAGCCAGAGGAAGGAGAGGACUGAGGCCGCCCGACCAUGCCGCUGCCCGUUACCGGAUCUGCUGAGGCACGUUGUGUGGGGGGAUCCUCACCCUCUAUUGCACCCCAUGGGGGGACAGGAAAGACGGUCAGAGAUGGCGAAUACGGCAGGGGGUGGACUAGCGAGAACUUGCAGCCGACCACCUUUCUUCAACCUUGAGUGCUGCCCCUAGGUCCAACGCCGCUUGGUAGGGUCCCCAUGGUAGGGUCUCCCAGGCGUGAGAGGAACAGCGUAAGGCGGGUCACCACAUCGGCCUUUUCCUCUCUCUAUAGACAUGGAUACAGCUCAACAAUAUUUGAAUGACUUGCCAGAGCUUUCUUAAGUGGUUUCCGAACUAAUCAGCGGCUGUUCUUCCCUCCCCACCCCCAAACCCUUGCAAACAUUUAGCUCUGAUUGGGUAAUAAA
This is a long non-coding RNA of Condylura cristata (star-nosed mole), 848 nucleotides long. RefSeq lists it as uncharacterized. NCBI's taxonomy places the organism in Eukaryota, Metazoa, Chordata, Mammalia, Eulipotyphla, Talpidae. The record is from RefSeq and is a predicted model, not a curated record. The transcript has 3 exons.